GACGUAGGGCGCGAGCGUUGUCCGGAUUUAUUGGGCGUAAAGAGCUCGUAGGCGGCUUGUUACGUCGUUCGUGAAAACCCGAGGCUCAACCUCGGGCUUGCGGUCGAUACGGGCAGGCUAGAGUUCGGUAGGGGAGACUGGAAUUCCUGGUGUAGCGGUGAAAUGCGCAGAUAUCAGGAGGAACACCGGUGGCGAAGGCGGGUCUCUGGGCCGAUACUGACGCUGAGGAGCGAAAGCGUGGGGAGCGAACAGG
This 253-nucleotide ribosomal RNA is filed under the name uncultured bacterium. RNAcentral's name for it is "partial 16S ribosomal RNA". It matches the Rfam family "Bacterial small subunit ribosomal RNA", at positions 524 to 776 of the family's 1533-position model. The record is from RNAcentral.